RNAcentral lists this ribosomal RNA (708 nucleotides) under bacterium 4881K6-B3. RNAcentral's name for it is "bacterial SSU rRNA". It matches the Rfam family "Bacterial small subunit ribosomal RNA", at positions 797 to 1502 of the family's 1533-position model. The record is from RNAcentral.
ACGCCGUAAACCGAUGUCAAACUAGCGGUUGGGUCCCUUGAGGACUUAGUGGCGCAGCUAACGCAAUAAGUUGACCGCCUGGGGAGUACGGCCGCAAGGUUAAAACUCAAAUGAAUUGACGGGGGCCCGCACAAGCGGUGGAGCAUGUGGUUUAAUUCGAUGCAACGCGAAGAACCUUACCUACCCUUGACAUCCAGAGGACUUUCCAGAGAUGGAUUGGUGCCUUCGGGAACUCUGAGACAGGUGCUGCAUGGCUGUCGUCAGCUCGUGUUGUGAAAUGUUGGGUUAAGUCCCGUAACGAGCGCAACCCCUAUCCUUAUUUGCCAGCGAGUAAUGUCGGGAACUCUAAGGAGACUGCCGGUGACAAACCGGAGGAAGGUGGGGACGACGUCAAGUCAUCAUGGCCCUUACGGGUAGGGCUACACACGUGCUACAAUGGCAAGUACAAAGGGUUGCAAUACUGCGAAGUGGAGCCAAUCCCAUAAAGCUUGCCUCAGUCCGGAUUGGAGUCUGCAACUCGACUCCAUGAAGUCGGAAUCGCUAGUAAUCGUGGAUCAGAAUGCCACGGUGAAUACGUUCCCGGGCCUUGUACACACCGCCCGUCACACCAUGGGAGUGGACUGCACCAGAAGUGGUUAGCCUAACCUUCGGGAGGGCGAUCACCACGGUGUGGUUCAUGACUGGGGUGAAGUCGUAACAAGGUAACCA